This 673-nucleotide small RNA is filed under the name Arabidopsis thaliana (thale cress). RNAcentral's name for it is "ATSL193310". The record is from RNAcentral. Lineage: Eukaryota; Viridiplantae; Streptophyta; Magnoliopsida; Brassicales; Brassicaceae.
AUUAGAAGAGCCAAUUCUGAGGAAAAAUGUUUACAAAAGUAAUAUGAAGCGGUUCAAUACAAAUUUUUGUGCCAAUUUGUACGCCAUAUCAUUUGCAGUACGAGAAAUAAAAAAUUAGGAAAAACUUGUGAAUUCUUCAUUGUCGGUGUGGAAUUCCUCCAAAUAAGUUGAAAAUGCUGGUCAUUCGGUUGGAAAAGACACUAUCUUCACCAGGUCUGAACAGUCUGUACAAAAUGCUACUUCUUUGUUGUCGAUACCAAUCAUACACUUCAUCGCCCAGAGUAGAGCUUCGACUUCUGUAUAGAGGAGAGAAAGACUUCUACGCAUAUUAGCAGCUCCCAUGGUUGGCGAGUCUCCAUUUGAUGAUGUGUAGAACCACCCUAAUCUAGAAAACUUAUCGCUUCCUUUCCAAGAUCCGUCCACAAAACAACGAAAACCAGAAUAAAUAUUAUCAUAUUAUAUUUUUUCGACCCGAAUUUGUUUUUCCGAUCCCAUGGAACCGUGAUUUUUGGUAUUGAGCUAACUACCACGAUUGUGCCUCUUUUUCUGCUAAACAUAAUACGUCUAACGGUUUUUAUCCAUAUUUUCAAAUAUUUUUUCGUUUCUUGCUUUCCAAAUAUACCAAAUUAUCCAUGGAUAUGAAGAUUAAUCAAAUUCUGAAGGUAGGAUGUUU